RNAcentral lists this ribosomal RNA (462 nucleotides) under uncultured marine bacterium. RNAcentral's name for it is "bacterial SSU rRNA". It matches the Rfam family "Bacterial small subunit ribosomal RNA", at positions 442 to 904 of the family's 1533-position model. The record is from RNAcentral.
GGGGAGUAAAUUAAUACUUUGCUGUUUUGACGUUCCCAACAGAAUAAGCACCGGCUAACUCUGUGCCAGCAGCCGCGGUAAUACAGAGGGUGCAAGCGUUAAUCGGAAUUACUGGGCGUAAAGCGCGCGUAGGUGGUUCGUAAAGUUGUAUGUGAAAUCCCCGGGCUCAACCUGGGAACUGCAUUAAAAACUGACUAGCUAGAGUAUGGUAGAGGGUGGUGGGAUUUCCUGUGUAGCGGUGAAAUGCGAAGAUAUAGAAAGGAACACCAGUGGCGAAGGCGACCACCUGGACUGAUACUGACACUGAGGUGCGAAAGCGUGGGGAGCAAACAAGAUUAUAUACCCUGGUAGUCCACGCCGUAAACGAUGUCAACUAGCCGUUGGGAGCCUUGAGCUCUUAGUGGCGCAGCUAACGCAUUAAGUUGACCGCCUGGGGAGUACGGCCGCAAAGUUAAAACUCAA